Molecule: non-coding RNA, 831 nt
Organism: Paramormyrops kingsleyae
Lineage: Eukaryota; Metazoa; Chordata; Actinopteri; Osteoglossiformes; Mormyridae
Source: RefSeq, a predicted model, not a curated record
CGUCCUGUUUCAUUGUGCCCUUCAGUCUCACUCAGAGCCACGACUGUAAUUGAGUAAAUGAUUUGAUGUGCAUCAUCCAGCGUCCCUGCUUGUAAAAGCUUGGCCAUGCAUCGGAGGUAAAAUUCUCUUACUCUGCAGGGUUUUUUCCUCAGGCAUUCCCAUCGACUGAUGAGCUUUAUGCAGUGAGCAACAUCUACUCUAAUAAAGCAAGCUGGUAACUUUGAAGUUUGGUUUCUAAUUAGCACUCCAAAACUUUCAUCAAUGUAUGCCCUGAGGUCUGGACAGUGAGUGAAGGCUUUCACCAUGCCACCAAGAAGAGCAAGGGAGAAAUCACUCACAGCCUCUCUGGGUAUUGGAGCCCCUGCAUGAUGCCACUCGGAAAGCCAAGAUGCUAUUGCAUUGGCAUCGUGUUUUUCGGAUAGCAUCUGUACCACUGUUUUUUCACAAUAGAUCCCGUGGCAUCGAAGCAAACACAGUGCUGCUGCUUUGACUGGGAUUUAUACAGCUGCAUCUGAGAUGGACUCCAAUAAUGGCAAUAAAAUUUAUCUAUGCCAAUGUCAUGAAUACUGCCGCUGUGAGGUACAGAGUGUUUUAAAAGCUGAAGUGAUAGCACAGGAUCUUUGUGUUGAAGCUCUUCAUCUUUUCUUUCCUGCUUGGCUUUCCGGAGUGUAGUCAGAUUGUACAAAUGACUGGGCUCAGGGUCACCAAAUCUCAUCAAUUUGUUGGCUUCAGUUUCACGCCAGAAUGCAGUGAAGGAGAGCACAUUCAUUUGAUUUGGGUUCUUUGACACAGUGAAUGAGAAGUCUGCCUUUGCACUCUUUGCAGUGUGCU